ACGGAAGGCAGCAGUGGGGAAUAUUGCACAAUGGGGGAAACCCUGAUGCAGCGACGCCGCGUGAGUGAAGAAGUAUUUCGGUAUGUAAAGCUCUAUCAGCAGGAAAGAAAAUGACGGUACCUGACUAAGAAGCCCCGGCUAACUACGUGCCAGCAGCCGCGGUAAUACGUAGGGGGCAAGCGUUAUCCGGAUUUACUGGGUGUAAAGGGAGCGUAGACGGCUUUGCAAGUCUGAAGUGAAAGCCCGGGGCUCAACCCCGGAACUGCUUUGGAAACUGUAGAGCUAGAGUGCAGGAGAGGUAAGUGGAAUUCCUAGUGUAGCGGUGAAAUGCGUAGAUAUUAGGAGGAACACCAGUGGCGAAGGCGGCUUACUGGACUGUAACUGACGUUGAGGCCCGAAGGCGUGGGGAGCAAACAGGAUUAGAUACCCUGGUA
Molecule: ribosomal RNA, 434 nt
Filed under: uncultured Lachnospiraceae bacterium
Lineage: Bacteria; Bacillati; Bacillota; Clostridia; Lachnospirales; Lachnospiraceae
Description: partial 16S ribosomal RNA
Rfam family: Bacterial small subunit ribosomal RNA
Source: RNAcentral